This 804-nucleotide ribosomal RNA is filed under the name Triticum aestivum (bread wheat). Its description in RNAcentral is "partial small subunit ribosomal RNA". The record is from RNAcentral. Lineage: Eukaryota; Viridiplantae; Streptophyta; Magnoliopsida; Poales; Poaceae.
AUGGCAGCUAUUCUGAAGUUAUACGUGGGAGAUAGCCGCGGGUUUGGCAAGCUAAAUAAGGCACUGAUCACCCUGAUUCCUAAACGGGCGAAUGCUGAUUCGGUAGGGGAUUUUCGCCCGAUUAGCCUGACCCACAGCUUCGCAAAGCUGUUCGCUAAGGCGCUGGCCAUGAGGGCAAGGAGACGCAUGAAGGAGAUUGUCCAGGCAAACCAGUCGGCCUUCAUUGCGGGAAGAUGCUUGCACGAUAAUUUUCUCCUUGUAAGACAGAUCGCUAGGAAAUUACACGCGAGGAAGACGCCAGGAGUGUUCCUGAAACUUGACAUCACGAGGGUGUUUGAUUCUCUGUCAUGGCCGUUCCUGUUCCAAGUUAUGAGAAAAAAAGGCUUUGGGGAUGCCUGGAUCAGGUGGGUGGCCAUCUUGCUUCAGACUGCUAGUACUAAGGUGGUAGUGAAUGGAUGUCUGGGACAGAGCUUUGUUCACGCUUGCGGUCUUCGCCAAGGGGACCUGGUCUCUCCACUCCUAUUCGUCAUUGCCAUGGAACCCCUAACAGCGUUGUUCAGGAAAGGAGCUGAGGAAGGAGUCGUUAGCAAACUAAAUGGGAUCUCUCCAACACAAAGGCUAUCCAUUUACGCGGAUGAUGUUGCGUUGUUCAUCAAGCCGACGGAGAUGGACUUGAUCUUUGUCAAGCAGGCGCUGGCAAGCUUUGGUGAGGCCUCUGGAUUGGAAGUCAACUACAAUAAAUCCAAGGUUGAUUCGAGGCUCGGUGGAGGACCAGCAGAGAGUUGUCGCACACUUGCAGUGUGA